ACAUCAUCUGCAGUAGGACGGGGGAGUUGGAGCCCUGGUCAGGCCACUCUGCUACUGACCACAGUUUUCUCAUCUCUAAAAAGGCGCAGUAACAAUAUAAUUACCGUAUGCAGUCCCCCAGGAUACAGGGUCAAAGGAGAGCACAACCAUCGCAGUUGGAAGCCCAUGGGGCAGGGCCCAGGACACAGUGAGCAUACAAUAGACAUUAGCUGCUGUGGUGUCUUGAUUUCAAGCCCAGUGCAGAUGCAUCUGACUUACGAAACUUCAGUGACACCUGCUCUGUGCCAGACACUGAAGAUGGAGCAGUGAACAGCACUGACCCAGCCUGUCCUCCUGUUGCCUGCAGGCCAGACGGAGUCUCACUCUGUCACCAGGCUGGAGUACAGUGGUGUGAUCUCGGCUCACUGCAACCUCCGCCUCCCAGGUUCAAGCGAUUCUCCUGCCUCAGCCUCUCAAGUAGCUGAGAUUACAGACGUGUGUCACCAUGCCCUGUUAAUUUUUGUUUGUUUGUUUUGUUUUUUGUUUUGUUUUGUUUCGUUUUUUGUUUUUUUUUUUUGAGACGGAGUCUUGCUCUGUCGCCCAGGCUGGAGUGCAGUGGCCCCGAUCUCGGCUCACCGCAAGCUCCGCCUCGCGGGUUCAUGCCAUUCUCCGGCCUCAGCCUCCCGAGUAGCUGGGACUACAGGCAUCCGCCACCACACCCAGCUAAUUUUUUGUAUUUUUUUUAGUAGAGACGGGGUUUCACUGUGUUAGCCAGGAUGGUCUCGAUCCCCUGACCUUGUGAUCCACCCAAGGCCUCGGCCUCCCAAAGUGCUGGGAUUACAGGCAUGAGCCACCGUGCCCGGUCAAUUUUUAUAUUUUUUGUAGAGACAGGGUUUCACCAUGUUGGCCAGGCUGGUGUCGAACUCCCGACCUCAGGUGAUUGUCGGCCUUGGCCUCCCAAAGUGCUGGGAUUACAGGCGUGAGCCACCGCGCCCAGCCGGUGGGCAGCCAGUUGUGUUCCGGGAGGAGGAGGACACCCUGGAAAGACAGUGGGGCCAGACACUGAACUGCCUUUGGAAGCAAGUAGGAGCAACAGCGAAGGUUUGCUGGCUCAGAAGCAAGGUCUCGCUGUGUUACCCUGGCUGGAGUGCAGUGGCUACUUACAGGCAUGAUCAUAGCAUACUGCAGCCUCGAACUCCUGGACUAGAGCAGUUCUCCUGCCUCAGCCUCCAGAGCAGCUGGGACUGCAGACACGCACCACAGAGCCCAGCCUGAGUCAUUUUGAUUCUGUAACUGGCUUCCUCUCGGCGGGCAGGCUCACACCCUCCACCCCCAGCUGGAGAUGGAAGGAGGAUGCUCACCGCCCAUUCCUCAUGCAGGCCAUCGAUGGAAAUGUCAGACAGUGCGAGUCCACGCCUGAACACUUCUGGGGUCCGCUCUGGGACUGACACUGGCAGAUCCAUCGAUGCCGUUCCAUUGUUUGCUGACUUUCAUUGAUUCUAUGAGAAGUCUGCAGUCUUUUGCAGCGUUGUUUUCCUAUGUAUAAUUGUCUCCUCCCACCCCACUCACCCCAGCUGCUUUCCACAUUCUCUCUCUUUGAUUUUCAGCAGUCUGCCCAUGAUGUGCCUAAAUAGGACUUUCUUUGCAUUCAUCUUGGCUGGGGCUCACUGAACUUUCUGAAUCUGUAGAUUAAUUUUCUUUUUUCAAUAAACCUUGGAAUAUUUUCAGCAUAA
Molecule: long non-coding RNA, 1712 nt
Organism: Homo sapiens (human)
Lineage: Eukaryota; Metazoa; Chordata; Mammalia; Primates; Hominidae
Product: long intergenic non-protein coding RNA 963
Source: Ensembl